GAUGAACGCUGGCGGCGUGCCUAAUACAUGCAAGUCGAGCGAACAGACGAGGAGCUUGCUCCUCUGACGUUAGCGGCGGACGGGUGAGUAACACGUGGAUAACCUACCUAUAAGACUGGGAUAACUUCGGGAAACCGGAGCUAAUACCGGAUAAUAUAUUGAACCGCAUGGUUCAAUAGUGAAAGACGGUUUUGCUGUCACUUAUAGAUGGAUCCGCGCCGCAUUAGCUAGUUGGUAAGGUAACGGCUUACCAAGGCAACGAUGCGUAGCCGACCUGAGAGGGUGAUCGGCCACACUGGAACUGAGACACGGUCCAGACGCCUACGGGAGGCAGCAGUAGGGAAUCUGCCGCAAUGGGCGAAAGCCUGACGGAGCAACGCCGCGUGAGUGGUGAAGGUCUUCGGAUCGUAAAACUCUGUUAUUAGGGAAGAACAAAUGUGUAAGUAACUAUGCACGUCUUGACGGUACCUAAUCAGAAAGCCACGGCUAACUACGUG
RNAcentral lists this ribosomal RNA (497 nucleotides) under uncultured bacterium. RNAcentral's name for it is "partial 16S ribosomal RNA". It matches the Rfam family "Bacterial small subunit ribosomal RNA", at positions 28 to 507 of the family's 1533-position model. The record is from RNAcentral.